RNAcentral lists this transfer-messenger RNA (359 nucleotides) under Clostridiales bacterium. It matches the Rfam family "transfer-messenger RNA". Rfam says of the family: Bacterial tmRNA, also known as 10Sa RNA or SsrA, is named for its dual tRNA and mRNA-like properties. Its role is to liberate the mRNA from a stalled ribosome. To accomplish this part of the tmRNA is used as a reading frame that ends in a translation stop signal. RNAcentral also lists the same sequence under 1 other name. The record is from RNAcentral. Lineage: Bacteria; Bacillati; Bacillota; Clostridia; Eubacteriales.
GGGGGCGUAUCUGGGAUUCGACGGGGAUAGUUGGAGUAGGAGUAGCGAGCUGCGGGGCUAGGGCCGCAUGAACAACCUGGAAUUUAAAUUAAACGCAGAUAAUAAUAAUUACGCUUUAGCAGCUGCUUAAAGCUGCUAAAUGCCUACCAUAGAGUGCCCACAAUCUAUGGCUAGGUAUCAAAUAAAGUGGGGAACGAACCUGGUAAAGCUUUGAACCAGGCCGGAAUCUAUGAAGCUAGCGUAGCAUGAAUCCUGUUGCUUGGAGCCAUGUGAGGCGAAUCAUAAAAAAGCAACUGCGCUCGGAGAAGCUUUUGCCAAGACAUCUUCGGACAGGAGUUCGACUCUCCUCGCCUCCACCA